UACGUAGGGUGCAAGCGUUGUCCGGAAUUAUUGGGCGUAAAGAGCUUGUAGGCGGUUUGUCGCGUCUGCUGUGAAAUUUCGGGGCUCAACCCCGAACUUGCAGUGGGUACGGACAGACUAGAGUGUGGUAGGGGAGACUGGAAUUCCUGGUGUAGCGGUGAAAUGCGCAGAUAUCAGGAGGAACACCGAUGGCGAAGGCAGGUCUCUGGGCCACUACUGACGCUGAGAAGCGAAAGCAUGGGGAGCGAACAGG
RNAcentral lists this ribosomal RNA (253 nucleotides) under uncultured bacterium. RNAcentral describes it as "partial 16S ribosomal RNA". It matches the Rfam family "Bacterial small subunit ribosomal RNA", at positions 524 to 776 of the family's 1533-position model. The record is from RNAcentral.